Molecule: long non-coding RNA, 3951 nt
Organism: Ostrinia nubilalis (European corn borer)
Lineage: Eukaryota; Metazoa; Arthropoda; Insecta; Lepidoptera; Crambidae
Exons: 2
Source: RefSeq, a predicted model, not a curated record
CAGCCCUCGCCCGACGACGCGCCGCUCUGCCAGGGCUGCCGCCGCCGCGACGCGCAGUUCGUGUGCGCCGGCUGCGCCAACCAGUGGUACUGCAGCCGCGACUGCCAGGUCGCGGCGUGGGACGAACACUCGGAAAUGUGUUCAGGAUAAUGUAAGUGACUCCGGCCGCAGCAGCGGCUCCGCGACUUUGCUCGGUGUUAGCGCAUCUAGUGUCAUCUGCCUUAUAAUAACUACAUUAAUAAUUACGUGAACAUAAGAAUUCGUGAGAAUCUCUAUUUUGGACGCAACAAUUUUUUGCGUAGUCUCGUAUUUUUUUACAACGUAUGACGGUUUUUACAUUCGUUCGUACACGUUCAAAAUGUAUUUAUUGGUUUUUUGAAUUGCUAAAGAAGGUGCAUUUGUCCACAGUGCGUUAUACUCGGUCACAAAAUAUCUAGUGAUAGUUGUAUUUAUUCCUAAACAUUUAAAUCAUAAUUCUACUUAAAACGAAUACAGUUAUUGACCACUGUGGACGGAGAAUAUAAUGUAAAAAAUACGCCAACUGCCGAUAUAGUAAUACAACUCAAACUGUAUUGUAUUUAUUGUGUAAGUCGGCCGAUUGCGUCAUUUACAAUCCGAUAGCAACCUCUUCAGGAUCUUUAGCCGCCGUCAUAUUGUCUAUUAUGACUUUAUGACGUCGGUUUAUUGCAUAACUGUUCCAAAAUCCGGUUCUGUUCCGAAACCCGGUUCUGUUUUGUUCCAAAAUCCACUUAUGUUCUAUUCCAAAGCCCGAUCCUGUUCUGUUCAAAGGUCCGUGUUUUUGCUACCACAACUUUCCGUACAUGAUCACAAUAGGAUCCUAUUCUGAAACGCAAACGAAAUUGAGCUGACAUUCAAUUGACUAAAACAGCUAAAAGCAAGAAAAUAGAUUCAUGAUAACAACGAUAAGACACAAGCUUUUUUUUAAAGCGUUUCAAUCGAUCCAUAGUUGAUUUUUCCAAUAAUAAAGUAACAACAAUAUUUUUCAAAAUAAAUUAUGAUUCGAACUUCAUGGAAGUAGAGGGAAUUUCCUCUUAUACUAUUUUGCAUCCCGAUUUUCAGUAGCGGACUGCCAUCGGCUAAAAUAUAUCGUCCGUUCUAGUUCGGUAGGCCGACUUACACUCAAUCCGUCAGGGUGCCUAGUGCGAGUUUGCACCAAACGUCAUCAGCGUCAAAACGACAUGACAGAUUGUACAGCGUCCCUAGCGGACACUUUUAAGGACUAAAAUCUUCAUAGACUUUUUGACGCACUCUAUCGACGACGUUCAAUGCAAACUCACACUUAGCACACAGAUUUUUAAGACCUAUAAAAUGACAGUCCAUAUUAUAGUCCUUCAAAGGCGAAAUAACGAUGUAUCUCGAGUUUUAUAGGUUUUAUUCGAGACCAGGUUUUUUUUAUUUAGCUAUUGUCUAUAGCUCUAGGCUUAGAAGAUACCGACUUAUAGAUGCAGAUAAAUAUCGAUUGUUACGAGUGUAUUGAACAAAAACUAUUUAAAACUUAUUCAUACAGAUACAUUUUUAAAGAUAUAUUUUGGGUUUUGAACAAAUGACUAAAGGGUUGAUUUUUGUCGUCAAUGUCGUGUGUAGAAUAAAUUUGACAUGUUGUCAGUUUUGUUUAGAAAACGUCAAAAAUAUCAAUUUUAUUCUGUAGAAGUUCUUUGGCAAAUCAGCCUAUUAAUAAAUAAAUCAUAAGACACAGUAUUUGGAAAUAACUGUGUGAAUGAGUUUUCAAACAUGUUCCUAAUUUGUGAAGAAAAACUUCCUUCUCAAAACGAGUAUAGCAUAAUAUUUAAGACUUUGGCGAAUAUAAUGUUGGUUGUGUUUGUGCUGAGUUCAUCUAACGAUUUGGCUGUGUACUUUGAAAAUGUUAAUGCUUAUUUUUGGAUCAUAUCAAAUAGCAUAAAUUGAAGAUCAAUAGAAUAGCAAUUUUGGAUGUUUAAGUCACUGGUACUCGAAAUAAAUAAUGAUUCGAGGCAAUAAAAAGAUUAACUUUUAAAAGAAGGUUCUCAAUCCGGUUGUUAUUUUUUAAUUAACAGUUUGACAUAUUGCCAGUUUGGUACCAACUUAAAUUAAGAUCUUAUUUUAAAACAAUUCUAGAACUAAAUAUUUUUGAUAUAACUGUAUGGCUAUAACGUUCAAAAUAAUUUUAUUAACAUUUCAUUAAACCUUGUUCUAUUAAUUUACGAAACUCCACAACACCUGGAUCGUUAGAUGAACUUAGCGUUCGUGUCUCAAAUUUUACACGCAAUAAUUUAUAAUACAACGACUUCUUCCUAUGUUUUGUUAGGAAUAUUGAUUUUUUUGUGAAAUUCCUCUUUUCAACCCUAAUAAAUUAGAUCAUUCCUUUAAUAAUAUUGGAUGCUACCCCCCUAAAUUAAUAUUUUUUUUUUGUAGCAGUCAAAUAGGUGUUUUCUGUCAUUGUUCUUUGACAUUUAACAGAAAAUUCAAAACGUGUGACUGUUCACCUCUGUAUUGAAAUUUAUUAGCAAGGGGGUAUUGUAUAAUAAGCUAUUUAGUAGCUAAAAUUGUUAGAAUAACAAUUUAUUAUGUAUUUAUGCGAGUGAAACUUAAAAUAUGUGUGUUCUGAAUUAUGCCCAUAUACAUAUUAUGCGGCAGUCGAGUUGUAUUUAUUGUAAUACCAUUGAUACAUAACAGUUUUUUUGUAAGUCUUUUUCAGCAAAAUCACAGAAAUUUUUUGCAAGUGAAUUUUAAAUGCAGGUUCGUUUAGGAUGUAAUAGGUGCAAUGUUUGACUUCCAAUCAUAAAUUUCUGUUUUUGUUCAUAGGUCUUCCUUACCUUAGAUUUCACUAGGGUACCGGCUAAAUAAUAUUACUACAUUUACAUUGAAAUACCAAUGCGUGGAUGCAACGUAAUAGAAUUGAAGUAUGUUUCAAGUGGUUGGCCAAUGUCGGUCAACUGUAGAUCCCUUGAAAAACCAUUAUCCAUCCAUAAAGAAUACUCAAUCUCCAUUUAUAAUACCGACAUAAGAAAAAUAUACAUAUGCGGUAUAUCAAAAAGAUAUGCGAUCAAAUACCACCACAUAUUUUUCACCUGCAUAUAAUUUACCUUAUUUUUAAGUUGCACUCUCGUGAUUUGGCCAAACAUAUUUUAGAAUAAGACUUAAUUUAAGUAUUCAUCAUUUUAUAUUGACAGUAAGUCUAUUUAAGAAUCGACAGCGCAUUCAAGUUUAAAUUUAAUCACAAGCCCAAAUAUUUCGUGCCUUUCCUAAUUUAUAAGUUGGUAUUAUUGAACGAGGUGUAAUUCAGAACGUUGUGUGCCUGAAUGCGUGUAUUAUACAGACAGUACUGUAAGUUAGUACAUAGUAUUUAGUGACGUUAUGGUAUACAAGAUGGUCGGGGAACGUGACGUCCAUAGCUAUUUUUUAUUGCUAAGUUGAAUCACCCCCAACUAAUAUUUUUUUCAAGUAAGAAUGCGGAUAAAACUAAAAUAGAAAGACUCGUCUUAACAGACAUUUAUGACUGAGUUACAGUAAAAAGUUUAGGAGAACUACAAAUUGAAGAACACAAAGGGCUGAUUGACAUAUAAAUUAAAAUAACAGCUUUGAACGUCACUUAUCCGCCGCCUUGUAUAGUACGAGAAAUAAUAAUUUUCGAGAAAACUGUAAAUCGAACCGAAAUCAAUUUAUUUUGUAAUAUUGAUACUGACUGCUGGGCAGCGCUUAUUUCGUAAUCAUGUAUAUUAGAACUGUUAAUCUAUAAUGUACAUAGAUUCGUUUCUAUGAGAAACUAAAAAUAAGAUAAUUUCAGUUAUAAAAUCAAGUCAGUCCCCAUAUUUUUGAUCGACAUUUUUACUCACUUAUUUUUUUGUAAAAAUUUCCAUAAUUGCUUUAGAAAUCUUUUCCUUUUACGAAAUAAGCGUGACCAGUUUAUUAUUUAAGCUAAUAAUGAUGAUCACGCAUCGAUGUUUAUUAUAA